This 681-nucleotide ribosomal RNA is filed under the name uncultured Actinomycetes bacterium. Its description in RNAcentral is "bacterial SSU rRNA". It matches the Rfam family "Bacterial small subunit ribosomal RNA", at positions 747 to 1427 of the family's 1533-position model. Lineage: Bacteria; Bacillati; Actinomycetota; Actinomycetes. The record is from RNAcentral.
UGAGGAGCGAAAGCGUGGGGAGCGAACAGGAUUAGAUACCCUGGUAGUCCACGCCGUAAACGGUGGGCGCUAGAUGUGGGGACCCUUCCAUGGUUUCUGCGUCGCAGCUAACGCAUUAAGCGCCCCGCCUGGGGAGUACGGUCGCAAGACUAAAACUCAAAGGAAUUGACGGGGGCCCGCACAAGCAGCGGAGCAUGCGGCUUAAUUCGAUGCAACGCGAAGAACCUUACCUAGACUUGACAUAUACGGAAAACAUGCAGAGAUGUAUGGUCCUAACGGGCCGUUUACAGGUGGUGCAUGGUUGUCGUCAGCUCGUGUCGUGAGAUGUUGGGUUAAGUCCCGCAACGAGCGCAACCCUCGUUCUAUGUUGCCAGCACGUAAUGGUGGGGACUCAUAGGAGACUGCCGGGGUCAACUCGGAGGAAGGUGGGGAUGACGUCAAAUCAUCAUGCCCCUUAUGUCUAGGGCUGCACGCAUGCUACAAUGGCUGGUACAAAGGGCUGCGAUACCGCAAGGUGGAGCGAAUCCCAAAAAGCCAGUCUCAGUUCGGAUUGGGGUCUGCAACUCGACCCCAUGAAGUUGGAGUUGCUAGUAAUCGCAGAUCAGCAACGCUGCGGUGAAUACGUUCCCGGGCCUUGUACACACCGCCCGUCACGUCACGAAAGUCGGUAACACCCGAAGC